AACGAACGCUGGCGGCAUGCCUAACACAUGCAAGUCGAACGAGACCUUCGGGUCUAGUGGCGCACGGGUGCGUAACGCGUGGGAACCUGCCCUUAGGUUCGGAAUAACUCCCCGAAAGGGGUGCUAAUACCGGAUAAUGUCUUCGGACCAAAGAUUUAUCGCCUUUGGAUGGGCCCGCGUUGGAUUAGCUAGUUGGUAGGGUAAAAGCCUACCAAGGCGACGAUCCAUAGCUGGUCUGAGAGGAUGAUCAGCCACACUGGGACUGAGACACGGCCCAGACUCCUCCGGGAGGCAGCAGUGGGGAAUAUUGGACAAUGGGCGAAAGCCUGAUCCAGCAAUGCCGCGUGAGUGAUGAAGGCCUUAGGGUUGUAAAGCUCUUUUACUCGGGAUGAUAAUGACAGUACCGGGAGAAUAAGCUCCGGCUAACUCCGUG
This 433-nucleotide ribosomal RNA is filed under the name uncultured bacterium. RNAcentral describes it as "partial 16S ribosomal RNA". It matches the Rfam family "Bacterial small subunit ribosomal RNA", at positions 29 to 507 of the family's 1533-position model. The record is from RNAcentral.